UAAAGGUGUUCGCAACUAGCCUACCUGGUUAAAUAAAGGUGUUCUCAACUAGCCUACCUGGUUAAAUAAAGGUGUUCUCAACUAGCCUACCUGGUUAAAUAAAGGUGUUCUCAACUAGCCUACCUGGUUAAAUAAAGGUGUUCUCAACUGGCCUACCUGGUUAAAUAAAGGUGUUCUCAACUUGCCUACCUGGUUAAAUAAAGGUGUUCUCAACUUGCCUAUCUGGUUAAAUAAAGGUGUUCUCAACUGGCCUACCUGGUUAAAUAAAGGUGUUCUCAACUUGUCUACCUGGUUAAAUAAAGGUGUUCUCAACUAGCCUACCUGGUUAAAUAAAGGUGUUCUCAACUAGCCUACCUGGUUAAAUAAAGGUGUUCUCAACUGGCCUACCUGGUUAAAUAAAGGUGUUCUCAACUUGCCUACCUGGUUAAAUAAAGGUGUUCUCAACUUGCCUACCUGGUUAAAUAAAGGUGUUCUCAACUGGCCUACCUGGUUAAAUAAAGGUGUUCUCAACUUGCCUACCUGGUUAAAUAAAGGUGUUCUCAACUAGCCUACCUGGUUAAAUAAAGGUGUUCUCAACUAGCCUACCUGGUUAAAUAAAGGUGUUCUCAACUGGCCUACCUGGUUAAAUAAAGGUGUUCUCAACUGGCCUACCUGGUUAAAUAAAGGUGUUCUAAACUGGCCUACCUGGUUAAAUAAAGGUG
Molecule: long non-coding RNA, 701 nt
Organism: Oncorhynchus keta (chum salmon)
Lineage: Eukaryota; Metazoa; Chordata; Actinopteri; Salmoniformes; Salmonidae
Exons: 2
Source: RefSeq, a predicted model, not a curated record